RNAcentral lists this ribosomal RNA (2947 nucleotides) under Desulfacinum sp. RNAcentral describes it as "23S ribosomal RNA". It matches the Rfam family "Bacterial large subunit ribosomal RNA". Lineage: Bacteria; Pseudomonadati; Thermodesulfobacteriota; Syntrophobacteria; Syntrophobacterales; Syntrophobacteraceae. The record is from RNAcentral.
AUGGUCAAGCUAGUAAGGGCAGACGGUGGAUGCCUAGGCGCUGAGAGGCGAUGAAGGACGUGGUAAGCUGCGAUAAGCCUCGGGGAGCCGCUAAACAGGCUUUGAUCCGGGGAUUUCCGAAUGGGGCAACCCGGCCGGAGUAAUAUCCGGUCAUCCUGGCUUUUGCUGGGAGGCGAACCCGGGGAACUGAAACAUCUCAGUACCCGGAGGAGAAGAAAUCAAAGGAGAUUCCCUCAGUAGCGGCGAGCGAACGGGGAAGAGCCCAAACCGCUUCGAUUCGUCGGAGCGGGGUUGUGGGGCCCCCAACAGGGGAUGCGAAAGGGUAGCGGAAGGACCUGGAAAGGUCCCCCAUAGAGGGUGAUAGGCCCGUACGCGAAACCUGGACGCACUCCGGGGUGACCCCGAGUACCACGGGACACGUGGAAUCCCGUGGGAAGCAGGGUGGACCAUCAUCCAAGGCUAAAUACUCCUCAGCGACCGAUAGUGAACCAGUACCGUGAGGGAAAGGUGAAAAGCACCCCGGUGAGGGGAGUGAAAGAGUACCUGAAACCGUCUGCCUACAAGCGGUGGGAGUCCUGCUUCGGCGGGAUGACCGCGUGCCUUUUGCAUAAUGAGUCAGCGAGUUACUCUCUGUAGCGAGGUUAAGCCGGGAGGUGGAGCCGCAGCGAAAGCGAGUCCGAACAGGGCGACGAGUUGCAGGGAGUAGACCCGAAACCAGGUGAUCUAUCCAUGGCCAGGGUGAAGGACGGGUAACACCGUCUGGAGGCCCGAACCGAACAAGGUUGAAAACUUGUCGGAUGAGCUGUGGAUAGGAGUGAAAGGCUAAUCAAACCUGGAGAUAGCUGGUUCUCCCCGAAAUGCAUUGAGGUGCAGCCUCGGAGCAAGAAUGACGGAGGUAGAGCACUGGAUGGGCUAGGGGUCCUACCAGAUUACCAAACCCAACCAAACUCCGAAUGCCGUCAUGUCAUCUCCGGGAGUGAGUCUACGGGAGAUAAGUUUCGUGGACGAGAGGGAAAGAGCCCAGAGCGCCGGCUAAGGUCCCCAAAUGCAUGCUGAGUGGGAAAGGAAGUGGGAAUACUGAGACAACCAGGAGGUUGGCUUAGAAGCAGCCACCCUUUAAAGAAAGCGUAAUAGCUCACUGGUCUAGUGUUCCUGCGCCGAAAAUGUAACGGGGCUAAGCAUGCUACCGAAGCCGCGCCUUGUUCUUCGGAACAGGGGUAGGGGAGCAUUGUGUAGGCCGUUGAAGCUGUGCCGUGAGGCAUGGUGGAGGUAUCACAAGCGAUUAUGCUGACAUGAGUAACGAUAAAGCGGGUGAGAAACCCGCUCGCCGUAAGCCUAAGGUUUCCUGGGUAAAGUUAAUCUUCCCAGGGUUAGUCGGUCCCUAAGCCGAGGCCGAAAGGCGUAGGUGAUGGGAAACAGGUUAAUAUUCCUGUACCACCGGGAAAGCGUUUGAGCGAUGGGGGGACGCAGAAGGGUAGGCCAUCCGGGUGAUGGACGUCCCGGUGCAAGCCCGUAGGCGGAGGAGCCAGGCAAAUCCGGUUCCUUGUGAACGCCGAGAGGUGAUGCCGAGGCCGCAAGGCCGCAAAGUGGUUGAUCCCAUGCUGCCAAGAAAAGCCUCUAGCGAGCUUUCCAGGUGACCGUACCGCAAACCGACACAGGUAGGCGAGGAGAGAAUCCUAAGGCGCUUGAGAGAACCCUGGUUAAGGAACUCGGCAAAAUGACACCGUAACUUCGGGAGAAGGUGUGCCCCCGUUAGGUGAAGUUUCCAGCAGACGGAGCCGAGGGGGGUUGCAGAGAAUAGGGGGUAGCGACUGUUUACUAAAAACACAGGACUCUGCUAAGUCGCAAGACGACGUAUAGGGUCUGACGCCUGCCCGGUGCCGGAAGGUUAAGGGGAGAGGUUAUCUUCGGAGAAGCCUUGAACCGAAGCCCCGGUAAACGGCGGCCGUAACUAUAACGGUCCUAAGGUAGCGAAAUUCCUUGUCGGGUAAGUUCCGACCUGCACGAAUGGCGUAACGACUUCCCCACUGUCUCGACCAGGGACUCAGUGAAAUUGUAGUCUCGGUGAAGAUGCCGAGUACCCGCGGCUAGACGGAAAGACCCCGUGCACCUUUACUACAGCUUGGCAUUGGGUUUUGGGCGUGUAUGUGUAGGAUAGGUGGGAGGCUGCGAAGCGGGGGCGCCAGCUCUCGUGGAGCCGUCCUUGAAAUACCACCCUUAUGCGUCUAGGGCUCUAACCUGGAUGAGUGAUCCUCAUCGGGGACAGUGCCUGGUGGGUAGUUUGACUGGGGCGGUCACCUCCCAAAGGGUAACGGAGGUGCGCGAAGGUUCCCUCAGGCUGAUUGGAAACCAGCCGUAGAGUGUAAAGGCAUAAGGGAGCCUGACUGUGAGAGGGACACCUCGAACAGGGACGAAAGUCGGUCUUAGUGAUCCGGCGGUUCCGUAUGGAAGGGCCGUCGCUCAACGGAUAAAAGGUACGCCGGGGAUAACAGGCUGAUCUCCCCCAAGAGUUCACAUCGACGGGGAGGUUUGGCACCUCGAUGUCGGCUCAUCGCAUCCUGGGGCUGGAGCAGGUCCCAAGGGUUCGGCUGUUCGCCGAUUAAAGCGGUACGUGAGCUGGGUUUAAAACGUCGUGAGACAGUUUGGUCCCUAUCUGCCGCGGGCGUAGGAACUUUGAGGGGAUCUGUCCCUAGUACGAGAGGACCGGGAUGGACGGACCUCUGGUGUCCCAGUUGUUCCGCCAGGAGCACCGCUGGGUAGCUAUGUUCGGAAGGGAUAACCGCUGAAAGCAUCUAAGCGGGAAACCCACCCCAAGAUAAGAGUUCCCCUUCCGCUUCGGCGGAGCUGAAGGCCCCUCGUAGACGACGAGGUUGAUAGGCCGGAGGUGGAAGUCCGGUAACGGAUGGAGCUGACCGGUACUAAUAGGCCGUGCGGCUUGACCAUCCCU